CACUCUACUAGCGGUUCGCCGCCGACCGGCGUCAUUCGUAAAGGCACUGCGCCGUGUCGACAGACCGAAAUUAGGUGCCUUCUUCCUCCUAGAAUCACUCAACAACAACAUUCGUAGUUGUGCUGUGCUCUGUCCAUUUGGCUGCGACGCUUCGUGGUCACAUCGACAGUGAUCGAGCGCUGAGACACCUCUGUGGUAUGUGAAAGGACGCGAGUGUGAUUACAUUGUUUUUCCGAUCACCGCAUCCCUGUUUCGCGAUGACACCCAUUCCUUGUGCCGUCAAAGGCUGUGAUUCCAAGACCGGGGGCGACGUUAGUAUGCACAGUUUUCCGAACGACCCAGCGGUGAGACAAGUGUGGGUAGAUUUUGUGCGUCGCUAUAGCAGCUGUGACUGGACGCCAGCCAAGCGAAGCCGGAUUCGCUCGCUGCAUUUCGGCCCCGACUGCUACCGGAUCGGGAACCAUCGGUACCUUCUUGAGUUCGGCAUCGCGCUGCCAAAGAAGCGAUAUUUGGAGCCAGAAGCUGUGCCCACGCUCUACGCUGCUUCAGCACAACAUCGUGACGCAACUCCAGCAUUAGAGCCCACAUGCAAGCGUCCCUGUUUCGAGGAAUCUCGUGACACAGGGACUUCGUGCGGGAGUCCUUACGAACUGCCGGCCGUCGACGAAACAUCGCAGUUUUCUAGCCCAGAUUCACAAGUUCCUCACGAUGGUGACGAUGUGAUCGCUGAGCAUGUGGCAGCUUCCCCAGAGCACACUGAAAAGUUCAAUGACCUGACACAGUGCAGAGUGCCAAAGGCCUCCAAAGCCACCCAGACUUCAGCAAUGACUGUGAUGCAAGAUGUUGGUGUUCAAGCAGUAAAAACGAGUGCUGAAAUCGGUACAGUUGCAGUUGGCAGUGGUGAUGGCAGUGUUGAGAGUUGGCAGUGGUGAUGGUGGCAUGGCUGUGGCUGUUUGGCUGUCUAUUCUAAAUCACAUAAAGGACAAGCACAGAGGACAUGGUGUGCUUUAUCCAAAGUACCAGCACAAGAAAUUGGAGGCAAGAAAAUGGUUAGAACCAGCUUUUUUUUUUCUAGACACAGAAGCUUAUGACAAGGUGUGCAGCAUCGUGUCAAAUAAGCACCUUCUGGAAGACAUCAGACAGAUGUCGCCAAACUUUCAAACUUAUGCCGUGGAAUCGUUCCACGCUAUUAUAAACAGAUUUGCAUCUAAGAGCUAUGCCUUCUCCUGCCAUGGCAUCCAAGCCAGGUAUCAGUUGGCUGCUCUACACUAUAAUUAAAAUGCAAGCACAGACACAGAGUGGUGACCAGAUCAAGCAUCCGGUGACAGAUCAAGCAUCCAAGGGCAAGGAAAGGAGAUGCUGUUGCUUGCGCCAUCAAAGAACCACCACAUUACGCUGACGUGAGCCACCUUCUGUCCGCUGUCAAGGAGCUGGUUGCUGCGGGGAACGCUAGCAAAAAUAGCACUACAUCACAGCCACCACACCUGUGAAGCACCUAUGGCCCAGUUGACAAAGCAGCUAUUGUUGAAGCUCAUAUAUCUUGGUUUCAGAUGUAGCUAGCCAGUGACGAGUAUCAUAAGAGCAUACUUCUGUCACCACGAAGAUAGCUUAGGAGUUUUGGGGUUUCACACAAUUCGCAUACACCAUCCGAUGAUCCGGCCCCCGUUAAGCCAACCGCUCCGAUCCACGUCAUUGUGACCCAUCCACGAGACCCUGGUACUUUCUGCGGAACUGACAACCUACACUUCGAAAAGUGGCUAGCUGAUUACGAGCGUGCCAGCAAGACCAACUGGUGCGACUCAACUCUAAUGCUUACGAACGUCAGUUAAUACCUGAGGGGAACGGCUAGUGCGUGAUUCGACACGCACGAGAAGGAGUUGACGAGUUGGGACGUCUGCAAACAAAAAAGGAAAGAUCUUUUUGGUAAGCCAAUCGCACACCAACAAGCUGACCAGAAACAACUUUUCUGACUAUUCAUUUUUUUUUGUUGGUAGCUAAUACUGUUUGCAUGAAUCUGGUGGUUCGUGCCGUGCAGAAACCUCAACGGAGCCGUACAUGGUGUACAUCCAAGAUGUCUUAGCCUUGUGCCAGCAGGUCAACGACAGAAUGUCCGAAGCUGACAAAGUCAGUCAUAUUCUAAAGGGCAUCGCCAAUGAUGCCUUCCAUUUACUUGUUUAGGAAGCCUGCUCCACCAUCGACGACAUCAUCAUGGAGUACAACCGUGAAGAAGCGAAGAGCCGCCGAGUCAUGCAACAAUUUGUUCGGCUCUUUAAUACCGCUGGUCGUGCAAAACCGUCCCACUUCAGCCACAGUCAUCGCCCUCUACCGAUAAUUUCCCUUGAUGAGCAAAUCUUGAUGCCCCAACCUCGGCCCCAUCUUCGGACCGCUUGCCGUCCCCGCACAACCAGCAAGGUUCUCGGUCGGAUAGGCCCCGUUGUUCACCGUCCCUGCCCCUCUUCGGAAAACUAAUCAGUGCAGCUCCCGAAGGUGAUGCUGAAUUGGCUUAUCGACCUAGAAAUCCUCUGUUGACUCUGGCUACACGACAAAACCUUUUAGACGUCGAAGUAGAUGGCGUGCCGUUUUCGGCGCUCAUCGACUCUGGUGCCCAAUUGUCCAUCAUUAGCGCUCACUUUUCUCGCUGUCUUCGCAAGGUUUUUACUUCAUCGCCUGUUGUUCGUGUAGCCGAUGGAGGUACACCUUGAGCUCUUGGAUUGUGUACUGUGCGGAAUCUGUACUACCUGAUUACCCCUUCCUUGUACGUUCUCUUGACACGCGGUAUAGCUCCAUUGCACUCAUUUGUGAGUACUUCUGCGAACCACGCUUGUAUGCCUGUAUUGAACUUUGGACAUUCUGCACAAUCGCUUGCCGAAGGUCGUGCUGGGUGCCCUAUCACCUUUCGAAGCACGCUGCUCUGCAGGCCUAGCCAUUGAUGCCCCCAGUCAUCUUCAGGAAGCCCUGCUGCUAACGCAGCACUUGAUGACCUACUCGACGACAUGAUAUCCCUGGAUCUUUGCCCUUCUCAAAUCCAAAGCGUAGACGAAGAAAUGGACAUUGGCAGGGCACGCACAAUGUAGCGCAUAGGCAGGAUAACUGCUGGUUAUUAAAGGCUGAAUGAUUGGAUUCCAAAAUAGAUGCAUGAGAGGAAGACAGAAAAUUAGGUGGGCAGAUGACACUCGGAAGUUUUCGGACAGAACGCAGCUGCGGCAAGCACACGGCCACGUUGAUUGGCUGAAUAUGGGAGAGGCCUUUGCCCUGCAAUAGGCGUAGCCAUGCUGAAUGUGAUCAUGGUGGUGAUAAUGAUGACGGUUCAUUCACUGUGAUUUCGACUAUGUUAAUGAGCUAAUUCAAGCCCUUAAUAAUUGUUCCGAUCACUAAGAGCCAAAUCCAAAAUUUUCUCAUCAAUAUUAUAUAUUUUAGCCACAACUUCGAUGACAUGAGCGUGCCGAAACGAUAAUUGUUGGAGCAAACCUGACCAUGUUUCCAGUAACAAAAGACUGCGCUUUUCUCAGUUUCUGUAAAAGUGGACUUGCCUCUUUUAGAAAAAUAAAAGUCAUAUUUUUUUGAAA
Molecule: unclassified non-coding RNA, 3566 nt
Filed under: Rhipicephalus microplus (southern cattle tick)
Lineage: Eukaryota; Metazoa; Arthropoda; Arachnida; Ixodida; Ixodidae
Description: tHAP domain-containing protein 10-like, transcript variant X1
Source: RNAcentral